AGGGUUUGAUUAUGGCUCAGGACGAACGCUGGCGGCGCGCCUAACACAUGCAAGUCGAACGGGGUCAUUUGGGAUGAAGGCUUCGGCCGGAAGACUGAAUGACCUAGUGGCGGACGGGUGAGUAACGCGUGAGUAACCUGCCUCUCAGAGGGGGAUAACGGAGGGAAACUUCCGCUAAUACCGCAUGACGUCAGACCGGGGCAUCCCGGAGUGACCAAAGGAGCAAUCCGCUGAGAGAUGGACUCGCGUCCAAUUAGGUAGUUGGUGAGGUAAUGGCUCACCAAGCCCGCGAUUGGUAGCCGGACUGAGAGGUUGAACGGCCACAUUGGGACUGAGACACGGCCCAG
This 347-nucleotide ribosomal RNA is filed under the name uncultured bacterium. RNAcentral describes it as "bacterial SSU rRNA". It matches the Rfam family "Bacterial small subunit ribosomal RNA", at positions 8 to 334 of the family's 1533-position model. The record is from RNAcentral.